UACGUAGGCCCCGAGCGUUGUCCGGAUUUAUUGGGCGUAAAGCGAGCGCAGGUGGUUUAUUAAGUCUGGUGUAAAAGGCAGUGGCUCAACCAUUGUAUGCAUUGGAAACCGGUAGACUUGAGUGCAGGAGAGGAGAGUGGAAUUCCAUGUGUAGCGGUGAAAUGCGUAGAUAUAUGGAGGAACACCGGUGGCGAAAGCGGCUCUCUGGCCUGUAACUGACACUGAGGCUCGAAAGCGUGGGGAGCAAACAGG
This 252-nucleotide ribosomal RNA is filed under the name uncultured bacterium. Its description in RNAcentral is "partial 16S ribosomal RNA". It matches the Rfam family "Bacterial small subunit ribosomal RNA", at positions 524 to 776 of the family's 1533-position model. The record is from RNAcentral.